CCUACGGGGGGCUGCAGUGGGGAAUCUUGGACAAUGGGCGCAAGCCUGAUCCAGCCAUGCCGCGUGAGUGACGAAGGCCCUAGGGUUGUAAAACUCUUUCGCCGAGGACGAUAAUGACGGUACUCGGAGAAGAAGCUCCGGCUAACUUCGUGCCAGCAGCCGCGGUAAUACGAAGGGGGCUAGCGUUGUUCGGAUUUACUGGGCGUAAAGCGCAUGUAGGCGGGCCGUUAAGUUGGGGGUGAAAGCCCGGAGCUCAACUCCGGAAUUGCCUUCAAAACUGGCGGCCUGGAGCAAGAUAGAGGCGAGUGGAAUUCCGAGUGUAGAGGUGAAAUUCGUAGAUAUUCGGAGGAACACCAGUGGCGAAGGCGGCUCGCUGGAUCUUUGCUGACGCUGAGAUGCGAAAGCGUGGGGAGCAAACAGGAUUAGAUACCCUUGUAGUC
RNAcentral lists this ribosomal RNA (440 nucleotides) under Weissella confusa. RNAcentral's name for it is "bacterial SSU rRNA". It matches the Rfam family "Bacterial small subunit ribosomal RNA", at positions 338 to 795 of the family's 1533-position model. Lineage: Bacteria; Bacillati; Bacillota; Bacilli; Lactobacillales; Lactobacillaceae. The record is from RNAcentral.